CUGGUUACACAACUCUGGAUACUAAAGACCACUGGAUAUGGUGAUGAAUUACAUCUCAAUAAAGUUGUUUUUAAAAAACACACAAGCACCUUCCUUGUCGCCUAUUCGGCAGAGGUACUCGGCCUUCGCAAGACAUAUGACAAAACUGUGGCGCUGGGUCACCGACUGGAUAUUGUGUUCUAUCUCCUGAGAAUUGGCUUAUUUUACAUGGAUAAUGACCUCAUCACUCGAAAUACAGAAAAGGCCAAAAGCUUGAUAGAGGAAGGAGGAGAUUGGGACCGGAGGAACCGCCUAAAAGUAUAUCAAGGUCUUUAUUGUGUAGCUAUUCGUGAUUUCAAACAGGCAGCUGAACUCUUCCUUGAUACAGUUUCGACAUUUACGUCCUAUGAACUCAUGGAUUAUAAAACCUUUGUGACUUACACUGUCUAUGUCAGCAUGAUUGCCUUAGAAAGACCGGAUCUCAGGGAAAAGGUAAUUAAAGGAGCAGAGAUUCUUGAAGUGUUGCACAGUCUUCCAGCUGUUCGCCAGUAUCUGUUUUCACUCUACGAAUGCCGUUACUCUGUUUUCUUCCAGUCAUUCGCUGUUGUGGAACAGGAAAUGAAAAAGGACUGGCUUUUCGCACCUCAUUAUCGGUACUACGUGCGAGAGAUGCGAAUCCACGCGUACAGUCAGCUGCUGGAGCCCUACCGGUCGCUAACCCUGGGCUACAUGGCAGAAGCGUUUGGUGUUGGUGUGGAGCUCAUUGAUCAGGAACUCUCCAGGUUUAUUGCUGCUGGGAGGCUACACUGCAAAACAGAUAAAGUGAAUGAAAUAGUGGAAACCAACAGACCUGAUAGCAAGAACUGGCAGUACCAAGAAACUAUCAAGAAAGGAGAUCUGCUAUUAAACAGAGUUCAGAAACUUUCUAGAGUAAUUAAUAUGUAAAACCAAAUACACAAAGGAUUUUCUUUAAAAAUCCUUAUUGAGAAUUUUUAUAGCUUACUUUGUGCCCAGUUGAACUGUGUAAAAAAUAAAUAGUGCAUUGUUUCUUUCAAAAAAAAAAAAA
Non-coding RNA from Odocoileus virginianus texanus, 1045 nucleotides. Lineage: Eukaryota; Metazoa; Chordata; Mammalia; Artiodactyla; Cervidae. The record is from RefSeq and is a predicted model, not a curated record.